AAAGUACUCCCUCCGUCCCAAAAUUCUUGUCUUAGAUUUGUCUAGAUACGGAUGUAUCAAAUCACAUUAGAUACAUCCGUAUCUAGACAAAUCUAAGACAAGAAAUUUGGGAUAGAGGGAGUAGUUG
Triticum aestivum (bread wheat) is the source of this 127-nucleotide non-coding RNA. Lineage: Eukaryota; Viridiplantae; Streptophyta; Magnoliopsida; Poales; Poaceae. The record is from Rfam.